This 504-nucleotide ribosomal RNA is filed under the name uncultured bacterium. Its description in RNAcentral is "bacterial SSU rRNA". It matches the Rfam family "Bacterial small subunit ribosomal RNA", at positions 502 to 1008 of the family's 1533-position model. The record is from RNAcentral.
UACGUGCCAGCAGCCGCGGUAAUACGGAAGGUCCAGGCGUUAUCCGGAUUUAUUGGGUUUAAAGGGAGCGUAGGCUGGAGAUUAAGUGUGUUGUGAAAUGUAGACGCUCAACGUYUGAAUUGCAGCGCAUACUGGUUUCCUUGAGUACGCACAACGUUGGCGGAAUUCGUCGUGUAGCGGUGAAAUGCUUAGAUAUGACGAAGAACUCCGAUUGCGAAGGCAGCUGACGGGAGCGCAACUGACGCUUAAGCUCGAAGGUGCGGGUAUCAAACAGGAUUAGAUACCCUGGUAGUCCGCACAGUAAACGAUGGAUGCCCGCUGUUGGUACCUGGUAUCAGCGGCUAAGCGAAAGCAUUAAGCAUCCCACCUGGGGAGUACGCCGGCAACGGUGAAACUCAAAGGAAUUGACGGGGGCCCGCACAAGCGGAGGAACAUGUGGUUUAAUUCGAUGAUACGCGAGGAACCUUACCCGGGCUUGAAUUGCAGAGGAAUUAUUUAGAGAUA